RNAcentral lists this ribosomal RNA (253 nucleotides) under uncultured bacterium. RNAcentral describes it as "partial 16S ribosomal RNA". It matches the Rfam family "Bacterial small subunit ribosomal RNA", at positions 524 to 776 of the family's 1533-position model. The record is from RNAcentral.
UACGGAGGGUGCAAGCGUUAUCCGGAUUCACUGGGUUUAAAGGGUGCGUAGGUGGGCAGGUAAGUCAGUGGUGAAAUCUCCGGGCUUAACUCGGAAAGGUCAACUGAUACUGCGGGGCUAGAGUGCGGAAGGGGCAACUGGAAUUCUCGGUGUAGCGGUGAAAUGCGUAGAUAUCGAGAGGAACACCUGCGGCGAAGGCGGGUUGCUGGGCCGACACUGACGCUGAUGCGCGAAAGCCAGGGGAGCGAACGGG